GUCGAACGGGAUCCAGACUUCGGUCUGGUGAGAGUGGCGGACGGGUGAGUAACGCGUGGGAACCUGCCCAAUGGUCUGGGAUAACCGCGGGAAACUGCGGCUAAUACCGGAUAAGCCCGAGAGGGGAAAGAUUUAUCGCCGAUGGAGGGGCCCGCGUCCGAUUAGGUAGUUGGUGGGGUAAUGGCCUACCAAGUCUACGAUCGGUAGCUGGUCUGAGAGGAUGAUCAGCCACACUGGGACUGAGAUACGGCCCAGACUCCUACGGGAGGCAGCAGUGGGGAAUAUUGGACAAUGGGGGCAACCCUGAUCCAGCAAUGCCGCGUGAGUGAUGAAGGCCUUAGGGUUGUAAAGCUCUUUUACCGGGGACGAUGAUGACGGUACCCGGAGAAUAAGCCCCGGCUAACUUCGUGCCAGCAGCCGCG
RNAcentral lists this ribosomal RNA (422 nucleotides) under uncultured soil bacterium. RNAcentral's name for it is "bacterial SSU rRNA". It matches the Rfam family "Bacterial small subunit ribosomal RNA", at positions 61 to 519 of the family's 1533-position model. The record is from RNAcentral.